Molecule: transfer RNA, 89 nt
Filed under: Gelria sp. Kuro-4
Lineage: Bacteria; Bacillati; Bacillota; Clostridia; Thermoanaerobacterales; Thermoanaerobacteraceae
Description: tRNA-Leu
Rfam family: tRNA
About the family: Transfer RNA (tRNA) molecules are approximately 80 nucleotides in length. Their secondary structure includes four short double-helical elements and three loops (D, anti-codon, and T loops). Further hydrogen bonds mediate the characteristic L-shaped molecular structure. tRNAs have two regions of fundamental functional importance: the anti-codon, which is responsible for specific mRNA codon recognition, and the 3' end, to which the tRNAs corresponding amino acid is attached (by aminoacyl-tRNA synthetases). tRNAs cope with the degeneracy of the genetic code in two manners: having more than one tRNA (with a specific anti-codon) for a particular amino acid; and 'wobble' base-pairing, i.e. permitting non-standard base-pairing at the 3rd anti-codon position.
Source: RNAcentral
GCCGGAGUGGCGGAACUGGCAGACGCAAGGGACUUAAAAUCCCUCGCACGGCAACGUGCGUGCGGGUUCGACCCCCGCCUCCGGCACCA